Molecule: ribosomal RNA, 946 nt
Filed under: uncultured archaeon
Lineage: Archaea
Description: bacterial SSU rRNA
Rfam family: Archaeal small subunit ribosomal RNA
Source: RNAcentral
UUUCCGGUUGAUCCUGCCGGACCCCACUGCUAUCGGGAUAGGACUAAGACAUGCUAGUCAAGCGCUCUCCAGCCAAAGGAGAGUGCGGCGCACAGCUCAGUAACACGUGGCUAACCUGCCCUUGGGAUAGGGACAACCCCGGGAAACUGGGGCUAAUCCCCAAUAGGUGAAGUGCUCUGGAAUGAGCCUUCGCCCGAAAGGAUACUUGCGCUAUGCUCACAAGCUUCGCCCGAGGAUGGGGCCGCGACCGAUCAGGUUGUUGGUGAGGUAAUGGCUCACCAAGCCUUUAACCGGUGCGGGCCGUGGGAGCGGGAGCCCGGAGAUGGGCACUGUGACAAGGGCCCAGGCCCUACGGGGCGCAGCAGUCGCGCAAACUUUGCAAUACACGAAAGUGUGACAGGGCUACCCCGAGUGCCGUCCGCUGAGGAUGGCUUUUACCCAGUCUAGAACGCUGGGGGAAUAAGGAGAGGGCAAGUCUGGUGUCAGCCGCCGCGGUAAUACCAGCUCUCCGAGUGGUGUGGAUGUUUAUUGGGCCUAAAGCAUCCGUAGCUGGCCAGGUUAGUCCCCUGUUAAACCCACCGAAUUAAUCGUUGGAUUGCGGGGGAUACUGCCAGGCUAGGGGACGAGAGAGGCAGACGGUAUUUUCGGGGUAGGGGUGAAAUCCUAUAAUCCCGGGAAGACCACCAGUGGCGAAGGCUGUCUGCUAGAACGCGCCCGACGGUGAGGGAUGAAAGCUGGGGGAGCGAACCGGAUUAGAUACCCGGGUAGUCCCAGCUGUAAACGAUGCAGGCUAGGUGUUUGGGCGGCCACGUGCCGCUCUAGUGCCGCAGGGAAGCUGUUAAGCCUGCCGCCUGGGGAGUACGGUCGCAAGAUUGAAACUUAAAGGAAUUGGCGGGGGAGCACCACAAGGGGUGAAGCUUGCGGUUUAAUUGGAUUCAACGCCGGA